RNAcentral lists this RNase P RNA (401 nucleotides) under Hyphomicrobiales bacterium. RNAcentral describes it as "RNase P RNA component class A". It matches the Rfam family "Bacterial RNase P class A". Rfam says of the family: Ribonuclease P (RNase P) is a ubiquitous endoribonuclease, found in archaea, bacteria and eukarya as well as chloroplasts and mitochondria. Its best characterised activity is the generation of mature 5'-ends of tRNAs by cleaving the 5'-leader elements of precursor-tRNAs. Lineage: Bacteria; Pseudomonadati; Pseudomonadota; Alphaproteobacteria; Hyphomicrobiales. The record is from RNAcentral.
CCAGUUGGCUGGAUGACCGCUGCCGCAAUGGCCGAAAGGCCGCGGGGGAGGAAAGUCCGGGCUCCACGGAAAAACGGUGCCGGAUAACGUCCGGCGGGGGCAACCCCAGGGAAAGUGCCACAGAGAACAGACCGCCGGGGCAUGCCCCGGCAAGGGUGAAACGGUGCGGUAAAAGCGCACCGCGCUUCUGGCAACAGCGGCGGCAGGGCAAACCCCACCGGGAGCAAGACCGAAUAGGGGUGGCGCGGCGGAGAUGAUCCGCCAGGGCUUUUCCGGCCUGCCGCCCGGGUUGGUUGCGUGAAGCAUCCGGUAACGGAUGUUCCAGAUGAAUGGUCAUCCAGCGUUCAUGCCCUUCGGGGCGGGGGCGCGGACAGAACCCGGCUUACAGGCCGGCUGGCGCU